AACGUAGGAGGCAAGCGUUAUCCGGAUUUAUUGGGCGUAAAGCGCGUGCAGGCGGUUUGAUAAGUUGGAUGUGAAAUCUCCCGGCUCAACUGGGAGCGGUCAUUCAAAACUAUCAGACUAGAGGAUGGGAGAGGGAGGUGGAAUUCCGGGUGUAGUGGUGAAAUACGUAGAUAUCCGGAGGAACACCAGUGGCGAAGGCGGCCUCCUAGACCAUUCCUGACGCUAAGACGCGAAAGCUAGGGGAGCAAACGGG
Molecule: ribosomal RNA, 253 nt
Filed under: uncultured prokaryote
Description: partial 16S ribosomal RNA
Rfam family: Bacterial small subunit ribosomal RNA
Source: RNAcentral